Molecule: ribosomal RNA, 505 nt
Filed under: uncultured bacterium
Lineage: Bacteria
Description: partial 16S ribosomal RNA
Rfam family: Bacterial small subunit ribosomal RNA
Source: RNAcentral
GACGAACGCUGGCGGCGUGCCUAAUACAUGCAAGUCGAACGCACAGUUUAUACCGUAGCUUGCUACACCAUAGACUGUGAGUUGCGAACGGGUGAGUAACGCGUAGGUAACCUGCCUGGUAGCGGGGGAUAACUAUUGGAAACGAUAGCUAAUACCGCAUAAUAUUAAUUAUUGCAUGAUAAUUAAUUGAAAGGUGCAAUUGCACCACUACCAGAUGGACCUGCGUUGUAUUAGCUAGUAGGUGAGGUAACGGCUCACCUAGGCGACGAUACAUAGCCGACCUGAGAGGGCGAUCGGCCACACUGGGACUGAGACACGGCCCAGACUCCUACGGGAGGCAGCAGUAGGGAAUCUUCGGCAAUGGACGAAAGUCUGACCGAGCAACGCCGCGUGAGUGAAGAAGGUUUUCGGAUCGUAAAGCUCUGUUGUAAGAGAAGAACGGGUGUGAGAGUGGAAAGUUCACACUGUGACGGUAUCUUACCAGAAAGGGACGGCUAACUACGUG